ACCGGUUUGAAACCCAGACUAGCCAGGCUCCUCCACCGCCCGCCGUCCCAGCGCCAACCAAUCAUGGCGUCCUCUUCCUUCGCCGGAGCGGCUAGUGUGACGUCACCCUAACAUUGGCCAAUUAAGAAUCGACUCCGACUUGAAGUUUGAAUCUGUGGAGACGAGAAUAUCGAGUUUUCAAAAAAUUGUUCCCAUGAAGGAACAUUGGAUGAAGUAUGAUUUUUCAUCAACGUAAAAUAGCUCAAAGGGAAUAGAUUGAAAAAUAAAACAGAGGGACCUCCUUGGUGGAUCAGUGGAUUAGAAUCCGCCUGCCAAUGCAGGGGACAUGGGUUCAAUCCCUGGUCUGAGAAGAUUCCACAUGACAUGCAGCAACUAAGCCUGUGCUCCACAGCUACCAAUCCAGUGCUCUUGGGCCCUCAAGCUCCAACUACUGAAGCCUGUAUGCCUAAAGCCUGUGCUCCAGAGCAAGAGAAGCCACUGUAAUGAGAAGCCUGUGCACUGAAAUGAAAAGUAGUCCCCACUCGCCAUAACUAGAGAAAGCCUGGCACAGCAAUGAAGACCCAGUGCAGCCAAAUAAAUAAAUAAAAAUGCCUAAAUGCAUAAAUAUUAAAAGAAAAUAAAACAAGAGAUAUUUAUAUUAAUAUUUGGAAGAGAACCAUAUUAGAUAUUUGGAAGACAUAGCCAUAUCCAGAAAUCCCAUGGAGCCCUGUCCUCUGGGAAAUACUUAGAAAAAAGAAAGACAUAUAUUUCUUGGAAAGGUUUGAGGUUAAGUUUUAAUUCUGAACCAAAACAAAGACUUCACAAAGGUCCUCCUUGCCAUUCUAAAACAGAGAUGAAAUGAAAAGUGAGUCCUAAAGCUUGGCCCCCUAUCAGCUGGAGAACAGAUUAGCAUUGAGACUUAGGUGCUUGAGCCCAGGUCCACCUGAGGGGAGAAGAUGUCAGACAGUGUUUACCCCUGGAAUUCUGUGACUUUCAGAAAGUGAAAUAAAUUGAAAGUCGCUCA
Molecule: long non-coding RNA, 1003 nt
Organism: Bubalus bubalis (water buffalo)
Lineage: Eukaryota; Metazoa; Chordata; Mammalia; Artiodactyla; Bovidae
Exons: 2
Source: RefSeq, a predicted model, not a curated record